UUGCAACUACUCACUCUCCAUCAACUGUGUCUUCAACAUCAGCUCCAUCAAUGUCCUCUGCCAGUGCAAGCACUUCUGAGUCUCAAACAUCAGGACCUACAACCACAACAAACUAUCCUUCAUCUCAAACACCAACUUCAA
Molecule: long non-coding RNA, 141 nt
Organism: Danio aesculapii
Lineage: Eukaryota; Metazoa; Chordata; Actinopteri; Cypriniformes; Danionidae
Exons: 3
Source: RefSeq, a predicted model, not a curated record